RNAcentral lists this long non-coding RNA (39028 nucleotides) under Capsicum annuum. Its description in RNAcentral is "long non-coding RNA (CANN_LNC015234)". The record is from RNAcentral. Lineage: Eukaryota; Viridiplantae; Streptophyta; Magnoliopsida; Solanales; Solanaceae.
ACUAUCAUCCUUAGAAAAAAAGAAUUACGUAUCUUAGAGAUGAAAUAAAACUACUUCUCCGGGAAAAGGUAUCCAUAGUAAUAUUGUUAAUAUGUAGAAGAAAAAUCUAAAUAUAGGAUUUUUCUUUAUGUAUCAAUAUUAUGAAAUAAAGAAUAUUGUUUUGUACCCUCUUUUCUAAGUUUUAAAAUAGUUCCAAGUGAAGAUUGUGUUCAAAGUAGCCACAGACAAGAUGCUUGUAAAGACAAAAAUAAUGUUCAUUGCCCGAAGGAGAACAACUGUUGUGGUAAUAAGGCUAUUUUAAGGAGAGAAUAAGAGAGGUAUAUAUAGAAAAAUCUUUACUUCGUAAUAUUAGUAACAUAUAGUUAUAAUCUAUAUCAUCUUAUUAAUCUACAUAUAAGCAUACUACUUUAGAUACUAAGUACCUAUCGGGAGUUUAUCAUCUUGAUUAAUCAUACAGUACUGUUUAUAACAUUAUUUUUAUACUAUAAGUAUAAAUGAUAAAAGAUGAUGAUUGAAGCUCAAUAUCAUCUAAAGUUAGCCCUAAAAAGGUUAUGGAAAUAUCUAAUAGCCUUAAAUAAUCUUGAUGAAUUUAUCAUUGAGUUGGUAAAAGCCUACAAAACUGUAAAUCAACAUUUAUCUGUAUAGGAAGGAUUAUACAUAAAAUUCAAAUGAUUAGAGCACAAGAAUAUGUCUUGUAUCUAGAGGAUAAAAAUAAUAUUGAUAAAAAUAUUAUCUACACCACUUAAAUGAGCAGUAUAAAUUUCCUUCCGCAUAUUUACCCUAUAUAUAUAUAUAUACACAUACAUACAUACAUACAUACAUAUAUAUAUAUAUAUUAACUAAUCACCUGAAUCAUUUACAAAGCAAUCUAUACCACAUAGUUAGCUAAGUCUCACUGCUAGGACAACCACCCUAUCAAAAUACUACAACUAUCAACCCCAACAAACUAACAAAGUUGUCACUCUAAUGGUUGUACUACAUCUUUUGCAAAUUUGGAGCUCUAAAAUUAUAAGCAUAUGCAACAUUCUUAGUUAACCUGAAGUCAUCUACAAGAUUGGUGUUCAAAAAUUCUAAGCUUUCGCUCUUUCAAAUAGUGUGCUCAGUUUCAGCAACUACAAAUUGGAAUAUUUGGGCUAUUUAAGUAUUCCCCUUUUCACUCUUGUGUAUCAAUUGGAAAUAAAGGUCACAAUAUCCUCGUGUCAUCUUUUAUAUGCAUUCAAGUCAACACUUUAUGCCACAAUAGCCUCACAAAUAGAUACUAUAUACAAACAUGUAUUCUUUUGUUUCUCUUACAUGUUGAAAGAUGGAACAUAUGGGUUCAACCUUCACACCCCACUUGAUGAGCCUGACUUUGGUGAGCAACUUUGAUUGCAUAAGUAGCCACUAGUGAAUAUGGAUUUAGGUCUAGCAAGGUUGUCAACCAUCAAGCACUUUCAUGGCAUUCGAUCUAGCGCUCUCCCCAAUCAUUCCAAGAUAAAUUUAUUUUGUAAUACCUUAUUGUUUCUUUAUCAUGUGUUGCACUUGGUACCACUCUCUCCUAGCUUUCAAUAUUUUCCUUGUAAUCCAAUAAACUUGAGGAGGAAUAUUGAUAGCCUGCAGGUGAUGCUCCUUUAUGUAAUAAGUGUGUAUCCACGUGGUCUUCAUCUUAUCUUCUUUAUUUGUAAGAUCACAUAAUGUUUUUGUUAAGACAAUGUUGUUUCAUAGCUUUAAGUUUAUGAUGUUUAUUUAUCCCUUUUGCAGACUUGGGUAAACAUAUCCUAUCUCAAGCAACUAAAACUUUCUUGUUGUAUUUACUCCAAUCCAUUUUACCACCCUAUAAGGUGGAAAGAACAAUCGAGACCAAUUAAAUUGAGUACCAAACACUAUUAUUUGCAUUACCUGAAUUCUGUCUGCAUAAGAUAACUUCUUAGCUGUCUAUAAAGAAAUUCACUUCAUAAUCUUCCCAUAAGUGGUUGCCACUAGAUCAUAGUCAAUUUCUUAAUGAUAUUGGAACAUCUAAAUACUUAAAAGGUAAUUUUGUGUACCAACUUAUGCUAGCAUCCAUAUUCUUUUGUACCAUUGAAGAAUUCGACUGGCUAUCCUCCUACUUUGGGACCUGGUCCCAAACAAACAUAAACACCAAGAAUUUAAAUAGAAGAGUAUGUAACAGUAAAUAAACAAGGAACAUAGCAAAUUUUAGGUGGAAACUCCUUGCUUAAGGGAGAAAAACUUCGACCUGCCUUAAGGAUUUCCAACAGCUCCACUAAUAUUCAAGAAACCUUGAAUAUAGGCUCCAUGACAUCAAUGAUUAAACUCCUAAUUCUUCAUCAAAUAUUAAUACCUCUAUUACAAUGAACUCAAUGCAAUAACUCUAUUGCACACUGACCCAACUAACUCUAACUGAAUCACAAAGCUAACUCUAGAUUUUGUCAACUAAAUCUACAUAACAUUUUACCAAAAUAAUAAAAAGGAAAGCACCUAAUGAUAAUGAACUUAAAGUAGUACGCAAUGUUUCUAGACUCAAAAAUGAAGACUCAAGACAACAAGAGUUCUAAGGGACUGGCAAUGACUAAGUAGGUCCCUUAUUGUUGAUAAGCUUUUGAAUCAGCAAAGCUUCAACAGAUUUGAUGUGUUUUGGGAUAUGGAUGCAUUAAGUUUUUUUAUUGUUGAAAUGAGCAUUUAUAAGAGACAAGAAAACCUAGGAUUAAUCUUAUUGGUUGAGACAAAAAGGGUACAAGGCUUUUCAUCAACUUUUCUACGGUGUACUAUGUCCAUCUAUAGUACUGACCAAUGUCAAUGACGUGAAAUACGGUCAACUAGGUCCUUAAGUAGUUGUCGCUUUUGUCAUCACAAGAUCUUCAAGAACCAGGUCCCAAGGGAUAAUUUGUCAAUCAUCAAACUAAUGACUACACAGACUAUACCCCUCAUCUACACAUUAUACCCCUUAUCUUCCCUCUUUUGGAAUCAUAAAAGUCCUAAAAUAGUGAACCAAGUAGAGAUAAGCACACAUGUUAGCACAUGGACAUGGAGGCUACACUGACAUGAGCACAAAAAAUAAGAGAAAGUAAGAGAGAUGAUAACACAAAGCAGAUUCAUUCAUUUUUCAUAGAGGAUAGCAUCAUACAAAAUUUAAAAAAGAUAAUAGCAUUAAAAAACAAAAAUAGUAGUGUCAACACAACAAGAAAAAAACUUAAGGAGGCCAGACUUGGCGAGGCUUAAAAGGGGAAAAAACUGAGGACUCGAUUAGGGAGACACCUAGGAGGAAUGACCGAAAGGAGUUUGGGACAAUUAGUGAAGAAGCAUGGUUAUUCUCUCACUUUCUGGAAUAUGAGUCUUUAGGAGUUGUUGAGUUAAAUCCUUGAUAUUUGCAGUCGAAACCUCAACUUUUGCCUCCAAUUUCUUUAGAUUCUCAUACAAUUCUGCAUUUUCAGCACUUAAUUCUCUAUUGAACCUAGUCCCUCAUCGCUCCUUUUCACUAAGGAUGCCUUCAGAGAAAAAAAUUCUAUAUUUUUUUGUGCUACAAUGGCUUCCAUCUCAUCCAAUUAUUCCCCCAUCCCAGUUUGAACAUCAAUAAGCUCGACAACUAUGGAUUUGGAUUUCCCUUCACCUCUGCUAGGGAUGCAUUCAUUAUCAUCCAUGGUUGUUACAUUGAACACUUGAUUUACUGAACCUGUCUUUCAAAGGCCACACUAAUGUUAAAGUACAAACAGAUUUGGUUAAUCCAAAACACAUAGUUCAAUCCAUGUUUUCUAUCUUUUAUUGUCAUCACUGUGUUUAUAUGCUCAAUCACAGUAGCUAGGAAAUUUACCUUUUGAUAUUUGUACAUGGCCUUCAUAAAUGUAAUACCCCGACUUCCUUUAAGUCAAAUCUAGUCUCCAGAAGAGUUACUGAUGACAUCCUAAAUGAUUAAUAUUUAAAUCAGAUAGAAUUUCCCCAUUCCAUCAAAAUCUGACAUGGGAAUUUGAAUAAGCUUUCCAUCGAUACCCAUUCCGUCAAAAUCCAACGUAGAAAGAGAAAUUUAUGGCCAAAAUACAGAAAUCAGUCAAAACUGCCCAGGUGUGACGGUAGAGGCCGACGGACCAUCAAGCUAGCGAUGGACCGUCGCCCAAGCUAUCGCAGUGAAGGUAGUAAGACCAUAUUCUGCCUAAGGGCAACGGCUCAGGCCGACAGACCAUCAAGCUAGUGAUGGACCGUCGCCCAAGCCAUCAUAGCAGAGGCAGUAAACCCUUAUUCUGCCUAGGUACGACGGCCAAAACCAACGGACCAUCGACCCAGCAAUGGACCAUCGCACCUACCGUCAUAUAUUUGGUUCAGUUAUUUUAAGUCAUUUUUAAAAUGGGGAUUUUUGGUAUUUUACCACACUUUCUAAUACCUAGUUUUAUCAGAUGAAGGCUUAUAAGUUCAUUAUCCAUCUACAACAUCAAAUUAGGGUUUUCUCUCAAAGAUAAUCCCCAAGAACAAGAUCCAAAUCCUUCUUCAAGAAACUAAGAGAUUCAAGUUCUUCAAGUCAAAGGACUUCAAGGAACUCACAACCUAGUAUGUCAUGUGUUGAUCCAUGGGUCCCUUUCACCCAUGAAGCUCAAGAAUAUCUUUUCAAAAUCCAAGAUUUGUGUAUGUAUGAAUGUUUAUGAUUUAAAUUGAAUUGAAAUAUAAUGUUCAUGAUGUUGUGGGGUUUUGAUUCAUGUUUGAAAUUACAUAUUCCAAUGAUUGACCCUAGGAUGUCGUGAUUUGCAUAAUAAUCAUGAUAAGACCUUAAAUUUAGAUGUUGAUUGAUGUAUCCAUGAUUAUUAGAUGUGUUGAUGAUUGUAUAACCAAAGCAUGCUCCCAAUGUGUUCAAUUAAAAUCCUAUGUGAAGGAAAAGUGCCAUACUAGUAUGAUAAUAUGAAAUCCCCAUUUAUGUACAAGUUUAUGCAUGUCAAAUGUUUGAUGAAAUGUCUUAGUCAGUGAAUUAAGGAUACAUGUGUAACCCUUGUGGUGAUUUAUAACUUCUACUUCAUGAAAUCUCCAAGUUAUUGUAUUAUGGAUUGUGAUGUUGGUCAUGUAUUCAAGAAAGUCAUGCUUUGUCAGUUUCAUGCUAUCGAGUCCUGGGGGUACUUAUACCCUACAAUUUAGAUGUGUGUCUAGAGCCAGUGUUAUGUUUUCAAGAUACUCUCAGUCGAUCCAUGUUCAUAGAAAUUCAGUCAGUCAUGUGACUCAAGAAAACUCAAUAAUCUCAGUAGUAUUCUGUCAGUUAAUAGAACUCGGUUAAUUCAGUUUAGUCCAGUUUAGUUAAUCAUGUUCAGUGUCUAUUCAGAUGAGAGUAGGAAUUAGUAUCGAGUGAAACCAAGGAUGGGAACACACACUGUCAGAUGAGGGUGUGAUUCUUAAAAGUCAUCCUUACAUUCCAAAACUAUGUAGCCAGCAUAUGUUCAGACAUCAACACUGUCAGAUGAGGGUUGACAGUGUUGAUGAGGUAGAUAAGCACUGUCAGAUGAGGGGCCCACCAUUCUCUUUUAGGGUACUGUUAGAUUAGGGUUACCCAUAGAUUGUCAUUACUAGUGGGGCGGUAUUGACACCCUUUCAAUUAGGGUUACAAAUUAGAUCCCACCUUAGCUAUAUUACUUUAUUUGGGGUAUGUCGAUUAGAUGAAUACUUUCCAUAGUUUUAGUUAUAGAUCAGGACUGUCUGAUACAGUUAUUCAUUCUCAAUAAUAGAACUCAGAUAGUUCUACAGAAUUUAGGACUGUCAGAUACAGUCAAUUCAGAAUAGAACGGAACUCAGCUAGUUCCAUCAGAAACUAGAUUGUCAGAUACAGUCACUCAGUAUUAGUUAUUUAGUUAUACAGUUAUUAGUAUCUCUUGUUAUCAAUACUCAGAUUUAGUAAUCAUGUUAUCAUGAAAUCAGUUAUAGUUGUUAUGUAUUCAUGCAUGCGUUCUCACGUUCAUGUUAUCCAGCCAGUAAGUAUAGUUCAUGCAUGUGAGCCCUUUGCAUUCAGCCUACCUCACAUGCAUACCAGUAUAUUCAAUUGUACUAACACAUUUGUACUAUGGUGUUUUAGACCGUAGGUUCAGAAGCAUGAGCUCCAGAGCAUCAGUAGCAGUCAUAGUUAGUAGUGAGUCUUCAUCCUUCGAGGACAUGAUUAUUAUUUUAUUAUUUCAUUACUUAGUUUAUUUCAGUAGUUGGAGUUGGUUAGGGACAUGUCCCAUCAACUCCUUAUUUAGACAGUUUAGUUAGUUAGAGGCUUUUCAAACUAUAGUAUGUUCAGAUAGUUUAUUUUAGUUGUUUUGGGUAUUUCAUACCCCACCCAGAUGUUAUAUUUUAUUAGAUACUAUGUCUCAGUUUUGAACCUUAUGGCCUUUCAUCCUUUAUUUCCAUAUUUAUAUAGUAUAUUAAGCAGUAUACAGGUACAGAUAUUAGUCAUAGGUUAGCUUAUGGUCCUUUGGGGUCAUUAGCACCGUGUGGCAUUUCGGGUACGAGACUCACAGUGUUACAAUAAGGAAUAGGUUGGAAAAUAUCACUGUAGUCCUCUUCUAUAUAUGAGGAAGGAGCACCUUGUUUACCAACUCAAAAAUAAAUUGGUAUUCCCCUUCCAAAGCCUUCGUGGUCAUAUUUUUAGUAUUCAUAUCAUCUAGCUUUCUGUAGAUUUUUAGAAAAAAAUUUUAACCCUUUUUAUUACUUAGGUACCUGGUACCUUCAGUAGGUAUUCCAAGAAUCUCAAACAAUACUUAUUUAUCAAUUGUAAUGCUCACCUCAUUGAUUUGAGUAUUCAAUUAUAAAUCAUCAGCAGAGAAGGCUAGAUUGUGAUAAACAUUCUAAAAAAAAUUUCAUAUAGGGUAGGAACAGGAAACUCAAAAUGGUGUUCCUAACUUUAAAACUUUACCCAAUCCAACAACACAGUAUUCCUAGCAUAGCAGCACUAUCAGGGUCAAAAACUCAACCCCUUAAGACUUAAUUAGUCUUGAGAAUCUCCUAUCUGGAAUCCCUUGACAAACCCUUCUCUUUUUCUUUAGAAGAAGCUUUUCCAGAGGGACCAGUUCCUUUUGUAGAAACCCCAGGGUCUCUUAAGGUCUUAGAAGAUUUAGAAUUAGGACCUGGUCCUCGGUGCUAGACUUCUCAGUCCUUUUCCUCUGACCAAUGCUCGUGGUUAUAUGUUUAUUGAUCAUUACUCCUUUGGAUUUCUCUUUUUUGGGGAGAAACAAUAGCUUUUCUUUUGUGUUAGCUUUGGUGGUAGCCAUACUCUUUUCAAUAUUAAAAUUGUCAUCAACAUCCUCAUACAUAUCAUAGUUAUCAAACAUACUUCUAAAAAUAUUUUAAAGUCACUAUCAGAACUGUCAUUAAAAUCACUCUAAGUCUCCUUAUCAGAUUUCUCAACUGUCACACCCUUUUCAACUAGAGGUUCAACUACAAUCACUCUCUUCUUUUUCAACAUCCUCCUUUUCUUAGUAUUAUUUUUGUUUUCUUCCAAGGCUUCUUUCAUCAACUUCCAUGAAUUCAACCUAGUCCCUGGAGGUUUAACAGGUUUGGGUGGAGCUUUGGUAAAAGAAAAGGAUCCCUUCUUAGAUAUUUUUCAUGAUAAGGGUUGGUUAUCCUCACUAUUAGUAUCUUCUUUUUCAUUCGUAUCUCCACCAAACAGGUCGAGAACAGGGGAGAACAUUAUAGAAGAAAACACUAAGUUGUUAUCCUCAGCAUUCUCAGGAGGAUCAUUUUGCCUUCUUGUGAACAAUUUUACAGGAGUUGUCUCCCACUUUGGUGAGUCUAGAGUGCUAGGGUAUUUAGGAGGUUCUAUACUAAGGGUAGCGAGAUCUUGAACCCUAAUUUCCUCGCUUAUGGGAAGGAUGCUUAAAAAAGUUCCCUAAGAAGUCGACAAAUCCCCAUCAAACAUAUUUUUGUGAAUAGAGGCACUCCUAAACUUACUAGGUAACUUACCCUUAUCAGGAGAUACGCAUUGGAAGGAGAGUCCAAAACUGACUCAGAGGGAACUAAUUAAUUUGGGAUAGAAGGAAUUUCUUCAGAGACUUUGUCUUUGGAAGAGUUGAUUUUAGGGUCUUCUUAGAGACUUUGUCUUUGGAAGGAUCGAUUUUAGGGUCAGGGAUGGAGGGUGCAUCUUGGUUAGUUUUCCCUGAAAAGAAUGCAUCAGAUCAAUCCUUCUUUUUUUUGCACUAUCUUCUCUGGAAAUUUUAGGAAAGAAAAGGGGAAAGAACUUUGUAAUGGAAAAAGGAUUUUGAGAUUGAAAAUCAAAAGGAGGGGAUGGAGAAUCAACCACUUAUAAAGAAGAGGGCUCUUUUUGAGGAGGAAAUGAUAGUGGUAGAUUCGACAUGAUAGCUUAGAAAGAAUAUUAGGAAGAUUUAAGAUUUGAAAUAAGAUGAAGAAUGGGAAAAAGUUUGAAAACGAAUAGGCUACAAUUGGGAAGAUUUUUUAAAAUGGAUAGAUGAGAGAUUAGGCAUAACUUAAAUGGGAAAGAAGAGAAUGAUUCAAAUUUAGUGAAGGGUUGUGGUUGAUAAGAUGUGUUAGGUCAGAUGAGCGCGCCCUUUAGACUCAAAGUGGGGGUUACAACUUUUAAGAAUGGGAGGGAUAUGAUGUAGCAGACUUGUCACUUAAUUUAAAAAGCUACCGCUUAAGAAUAUGGUUUGAUACCAAAUGAAUGAGGGAUCUGGUCCCUCUAUGAAUUUCUGUGCAUAAUGAGCUUUGAGAUGUCUCAUCCCCCUCCGUUCUUCUCUUUCUUUCCAUGGUAUAUAUCAACAGAAGAUAUGAGACUGAAUUAGACAUAUGUUACAUUAUCAUACAAGGAUACCUUCUUAUCAAUUCAUAGCCACGUUGGGGGAUUAAUAUAAAUAACAUGCAUUUAGCUUGGUCUCAUUAUCCUCAGCUUUGUCUCAUUCUUUUCAAAUUGUUCCCUGCAAAGACCCUUAGUGAAUAUAUAUAUAAUUUGGUCUUAGAUACUUGAAAACCCCAUCUUAAUUAAUCCUUUCUCCAUAUUAUCUCUGGGAAAGUGAUGCCUGAUAUCAAUAUGCUUGGUUCUCUUGUGUUGAACUGGAUUUUUGGACAUGUUUACUGCACUUGUGUUGUCACAGGAUUGGGUAACACAAUCUAAGAUUAUACUUAAAUCUUCAAGUUGCCUCUUGAUCCAAAGUAAUUGAGCACAACAUGAAGUAGCUACAAUAAAUUUAGCUUCAGUAUUUGAAAGAGCCACUAAAUUUUGCUUCUUAGUACCCUAGAAAAUCAAGGAUGAUCUAAGAAAGUGAGACAUACUUGAGGUACUCUUUCUAUCAAUUAGGUACCCAGCAUAGUUAGAAUCUGCAUACCCAACCAAGUCAAAUUUAUCACCAGUAGGAUAGAAGAGGACCAAGUCAGGAGUUCCAUUGAGAAAUUUGAGAAUCCCUUUUAUAACUUUCAAGUGAGGAUGCCUUAGGACUUGCUUGGAACCUAGCACAUAUCCCAAUACUAAAUGUAAUGUUAGUUUUAUUAGUUGUCAAUUGGAGAAAUAAGACAAUGAUUCCUUUGUGCGUAGUUUCAUUAACAGAGGAACCAGGUUCAUCCAAGUCCAGAUUGGAGAAAGUUCUAAUAGGAGUGUCAAUAGGCUUUGCAUCCUCCAUGUGGAACCUUUUGAGCAACUCAUGAAUGUACUUCUGCUAACAUAUUUUAGUCCCAGUUGCACUUCGCAUAAUUUGUAGUCCAAGGAAUAAAUUGAGUUCUCCCAUCAUGCUCAUAUCAAACUAACUACUCAUUAACUUUGCAAACUUAUCACAUAGGGAAUUGAUUGUAGCUCUACUUUACAAACAAUUCUCCUUUGAGCAUCCCAUUCAGAAAAGCACUCUUAACAUCUAUUUUGAUUAAUUUGAAUUCUAUGUGUAAGACCUCGCAAAAUUCUAAGCUUGACUUAGUCCAUUAAAGAUUGAAAAUAGACCCCAGACUUAGAAAUUUUAGCUAAGUGUUUACACUUAGAAUUAUUUUAUCCUUCAUAAGUUGGCAAUCUUAUUUCACGAUCCAUACGACCUUUAAAUGUCAUUUUUUAGGUUGAUCCAUGAUCAGGAAUGUCAGUAGGUGUCCUAGACAAGUUUCAGAAUUUUGGGACCUCGUUUAAAUCAAGUUUGGGAGUCCAAACUAAUGGAUCGAUGUGAUAUCGACGAGACACACCGACUAUCACAGCGAUAAAUAUUUUUUCCAUCCAUAGCAUCGAUCCCAUUGAGUUGGUACAUCAGCCAUAGCAUCGAUCUCAUCGAUGAGGCACAUCGAGUUGCGCAUCACUGGGCACACUUUCUGUCAUUAAAAGGCACAUCCAGAGGGGUAUUUGGGUCAUUUUUCACCCUUAAUCAGCCCAUAAAUACAAAAUUCAGCCCUCAAUAAGCAAAAUACACUCACUUUCUGUCAAAUUCUCUCAAGACACAAACCCUAACCCAACACAGUCAAAAUCAAGAUCCAAGAAAUUCACCAUCAAUCUUCACAAAUUCAAGCAUCAAGGCAUGUUAGGUGUUCAUCCAAGGGUUUUCUUCCAUCCUUGGAGUUCAAGAACCCCUUUUAAAUUUAUAAGUUGAUUUCUUUCAUGAAUUUCAUGGUGAAUUAAUUGUAUUCAUGAUUAUGAUGUUAUUUGGGUUUUUAAUCCAUGAUUUAGUACAAGAUUCAUGUAAAUUUAUUUGACAUGUGUGUGGUAUUAUGUGAAUUUAUGUUUAAGCCAUUGAAAUUGUAAGUUGGGGUUUUGAAAUCAUGAGGCCUACAUGUUAUUUAGUAUCAUGUGUAUAGAUUAUGUUCCCCAAAUAUUUGAUAGAAUGCCCUUGUGAUUAAACGGUGAAAUAAUGACAUUCUAGUAUAUGUACAAGCUUAUGCCCUACAGGUGUUAGAUGAAAUGCUUAUGUGAUUUGACCAGUGAAAUAAUGACAUGUUAUGUGAAUCCUUCCAUUCACAAGUUUGUGUAUGUCAAGUGAUUGACAAAAUGUCUAAAUGAGUGCAUUGUUAGCAAGCAAGUAUUGUUAUGCCUUUAUAAUCAUGCUAUGUUUUACUUUCCAUGCUAUCGAGUCCUGGAGGUAUUUAAUACCCAAUAAUUUAGCAUUGCACCUAGAUCCAGUGUCAGUUAUAGAAUCUCAGUCAUGUCACAAUCAGUAGUACUCUCAAUCAGUUACAGAACUCAAUAGAACUUGAUCAGCUAUAGAAUUUAGGAAAACUCAGUAAUCUCAAGUAUCAGUCCUGUCCUGUUUAGUAUACUCAAUUCAAUGUCUUUUAGUUGGGAGUAGGAUUCAGCAUCGAGUGAUCCUAGGGAUCGGGCCUCACUUGUUAUCUAGGACUAGGUCCCUAGAAGCAAUCCCUAAGUUCCAAAACUACGUAGCCAGUGUAGGUUAUGAGAUGCCACCUGCUAGAUAGGACUGACAAUCUCUGGGAUUACUCGUUAGUUAGGACUGAUCUCAGGAGUCACCCUCUAGAUUAGGACUAACUCCACAGCCAGUGUUAGUACCCGUGGCAUGGUACUAGCACCCUUCCAACUGGGGUCACAGGUUGGAAUCCUAUCAACUUAGAUUUGGGACAUAUCGGUUAGAUGAUUACCUCCCACAGUUUUAGUUUUAGUCUCAGUAUAGAACUCAGUUCAGUUCUACAAAAUCAGGACUAUCAAACACAGUCACCUAGCUUAGUAUAGAACUCAGUUCAGUUCUAUAGAAUCAAGACUGUCAGAAAUAGUCACCCAGCUAUCAGUAACACAGUUAUUAGUAAUUUUAGAUAUCAUUCACUCAGUUAAUAUCAGAACUACAGUAUUAGUAAACUUAAAUAUUAGUUAAUCAGUAACCAGUGUUAACAUGAUCUCAGUUAUAUUUUAUAUAUUCAUCUAUGUACUCUUAUUCAGUUACGUCUAUGUUACUCAACUAGUUGAUAUCCAUGCAUAUAAACCCAUGGAUAUAAGCCCACCUCACUUAGAAUACCAGUACAUUCAAAGUACUGACUCAUAUUUUUCUUUUGUGCUAUGAUGUCUUAUAUCAUAGGUUCAGACGCACGGGCUCUUAACCACUCUUAGCAGCCUGGAUUAUUAGCAGAAAAUUUAGUAGUGAGUCCUCAUCUAUCAAGGGCAUGCUUUUAUUUCAGUUAUUAGUUUAUCAGUAGUUGGAGUUAGUUGGGGGCUUGUCCCAUCUACUCCAUAUUCCGACAGUUCAGUUAGAGGCUUUUCAUACUAGACUUUCAGAUAGUAUUCAAUUGUACAACUUAUUAUUUCAGCUGCUAUUUUGUUUAGUAUUUCAGGUUUUGAACCUUAUGGCAUUUCAUCCUAUUUUUUUGUAUUUAUUUUAAUGAUGUUACUUAUUUCUCAUAGUAGAUAUCAGUCAUGAGUUAGCUUGUGGUCCUUUGGGGUCAUAAGCAUCGUGUAUCAUUCGGGGUACAGACUCGGGGCGUUACACUAUGUAGGAGGCAAAAGCAAUGAGGAUCUAGAUCGCCUCCAUUCUAUCCACUGAAGCAAAUGUUUCAUCAUAGUCUAUUCCUUAUUCCUAGUUAGAACCUUGGACAACCAACCUAGAUUUGUUCCUGAUUGUAUUUCCAUGCUCAUCAGCUUUGUUUCUAUAAAUCCACUUGGUCCCUAUGAUUGAUCUAUCUAGGGGUCGUGGAACUUGGUGCCUCACUUUGCUUCUUUCAAAUUAAUAUAGCUCUUUUUGUAUGGCAUUAAUCCAAUCUGCAUCUUUCAAUGCCUUUUUCACAUUCUUGGGCUCAAUUUGAGAUAAGAAUCCAAAGAAGGCACAUAUAUUUCUUACUUUGUUUCUAUUUUGUAUGAUAAAAGGUAAAAAAAAAUUAUCUAGUGGAUGUGAAGAUUUAUGCUUACAGCUGGAUAUUUGAGGAGUAGGCUUACUAGAACUGGUACCAGUUCCCAAAGAGGUAUUACCCUCAGGAGACUGGUGAUCCACUUAGCUAGAGUGAAGAUCAAUAACUUCGUAGGGGGGUUGAACUGAACCAAAUUUCUGGGGAUCUUUAACCUCAUCAUCAUGGUCAUAAGAUAAACCUAGUCCUUGAGAUUCCUCAUCAUCUUUUACACCUUCUUCUGACUCAUCACCAUCCCGUACUGACUUCUCACCAAUCUUGAUGCAAAUUGAGAUAGCAUUAUUAAUAGCAAACGUGAUGAUGUGAACUAUCUUGAAUAUGAAAGCAUUCAAUCACCCAUAAAUAAUUUUAAGUUCCUUGGAAGGAUCAUCAAAAGAGAUUUUAAAGUCCAUAACAUCUCAAAUGGAUCUAUAAUAAAAGUGGUGACAACCAAGAAGAUCAUUAAGGACUCAAGUGGCUAUUAUUUUAUAAUUUGGUCUUAUUUUUAAUUUCACUAUUUUUGCAUGACUAGUAUAAAUAGUCUUAAGUCUUCCAUAUUGGGUUAGAUAGUUUUUGAAUAUUGUGUGCCUCUUGUGUGAGCUUAGAGCUGAAAUCUCUUAUCUCUUCAUUGAACCCCUCGAUUACUUGAGUAAGUAAUUUGUUGUAUGUUCUCAAUUUCUCUUCUCCCUUGGAUUGAAUCUAAUGAUUAAUGUAUUUUAAUUAUUAGUUUUUCCCUUCUUUUCUUCUAAAUAUCUUCUCUCUUUCUUUCUAGCUCUUAAUUAUAUCCUUGUAUCCUAUCUUAUUGUCUUGUUUGAGUUUUUUUGAAUCUCGUUUUAUAUAAAAUCUUGAGAAAUUCUUCAUGAUUAGUAUCAUUGUUGUCAUUUACUCCACCACCUUCAUCAAACACUAUAUGAACACUUUCCUCCAAACAUUUAGUUCUUUUGUUGAAGAUUCUAUAGGAUUUGUUAUUUGAUGAAUAUCCAACAAAAACAUUAUCAUCACACUUUGGAUCAAAUUUUCCAAGGUUAUUCUAGCCAUUAUUGAUCACAAGACACUUGCACCCAAAUGGCUUGAAGUAACUUAACUUGGGCUUCUUCCUGUUCAGGAGCUCAUAGGAGUGUUAUUAAGAAUUGAUCUGAUAAAGCUCUUAUUUAUUACAUAUCAUUUUAUAUUCAUUGCUUCAGCCCAGAAGUUUUGAGUUAUAUCUUCCUCAAUCAUCAUGGUUCAGGCAAUAUCCACCAAUGUCCUAGUUUCCUCUCCACAACACCAUUUUUGUGGUGUUCUAGGAGCUGAAAAUUCUAAUCGACUCUAAGUCCAAUGCAAAACUAAUUGAACCUUGAAUUUUCAAACUCAGUACCAUGAUCUGGUCUGAUUCCUACUAUCUUCUUAUUAUAAUUCAACAAACCUUCUUUGCAAAGGCUUUAAAUACUGGAAAUGUUUUUUUUUGGAUCUCAAGAAGAAUGUACAAGUAAAUCUUGAAUAUUCAUCAACUAUGACUAAGAUAUACUUCUUUUCUCCUCUGCUUAUAACUUUUAUAGGUCCACAUAGAUCUAUAUGAAGAAGAUGUAGUGGCAUGGAAGUGAUUACUUCUCUUUUUGGCUUGAAGGAGCACCUAGUUUGCUUGCUCUUUACACAUGCAUCACACACCUUAGAGAUGACAAACUUUAAAUAAGGUAGACCUCGAACCAGGUCCCUACUUACCAACUUGUUCAGUAAGGUGCAACUCACAUGACCUAGUCUUUUAUGCCAAUAUAUUAAGUUUUUAGGUUUGCUUGACCCUAGAUAAGAUACAUACAUAUUUUUGUUUCUCAAGACUGUCAGAAUAACCUCACCAUCCUUGAAUCGUGUGACCCCACACUUGUAUAACUUAAACCUCACUUCAUUACCCUUGUCAUAAAUAUGUUCCGCACCCAACAGGAUAAAGUUUAGACCAUCCACAAAAUAAAUAUCAUCAAUGGCUUCACCCAAAUUGUUCCCAACCUCACCAAUGCCUACUAUGUAGCCCUUCUUUCCAUCAUCAAAGGAGACACUGCCUCCUUUAUAGGAGAGCAAGAGGAAGUCUUGAAUUCUACCAAUCAUGUGUUGUGAAGAUCCAUUAUCCAUGUACCAGUGGUGGCUGCUUCCACUUGUUUGCCCUGCAUUGACAAUAGUUGUUAGCUUUGGGAACCCAUUUCAACUUAAGUUUCUAGUAUGAUGACAAAGGAAAAAUUAGGUUCUUCUUAGUCCAUAAAAGUAAACCAUCACUAUUUCUUUUAUAUUUAGUAACCUUUUUUAGACUUCUCAUAGAAGCUAGUCUUGAGGGGCAAGAAUCCCUAGUAUGGCCAUUUUUUCCAUACAAAGUGAACAAGAGAUUGUCCUUAAUAGAGAGAUAUUUACUAAAAGGAUUAUAGCAUCCACUUGAGCUAUGGUAGCCCAAACCUCUAUUUCUAUUUGAUCCUUGACUGGUAAGACUGGUCAGAACUUGAGAGGAGGUGGUCCAUUUAAGAGUUUUCUCAAGCUCAGCGUUGAUUUGAACUAAGUCCUUCUUAAGUUCAAAGUUUUUUUCGAGAGAAAGAGUCAAAUUACCAUUUGCCUUGGCCACCUUUUCCUCUAACUCAAAUUGAAUUUAGCUUCCUUCACUUUUUCUUAUAGAUUAGACUUAGAAAUUUCACUGAUCUUUCUAUUUAAAAGGUCAUUUUCAAGGGAGAGGAAUUGACAAGUUUCUUGCAACUUAGAUAUUUUCUCAACUAAAUCCACUUUUUCAACUUCAAAGUCAUCAAGAUUUUUAUUUAGUGACCCCUUAUUAUUUAUAAGCUCACAAAUAGUAUCUAUCAGAUUAUUAGCAAGAGACUUUAGUUCUUUAGGAAAGUAAUCUUUGAGAUUAUCUUUGAUGUAUAGAACGGUUACCUUUUUAUCUUCAUCAUCAUCUAAUUUUGCCAUCAGGACUGAAAGGGACUCAUAUAUUUGGACAUCCUCCUCCACCACUAUCAUAGAGACAUCACUUGGUUUCUCAGAUUCAUCAGACUCACUAGAGGAUUCUUCCUAAGUAGCAAGGACCUGUUUCACAACUUUGUUAGCAGCAGCUUUCCUACUAUACUUAUCAGGGAAUCGGUCCUUAUUUUUCUCUCUUUCUCCAGCUUGUUUAACAUAAUCUAUGUACUUUAUUUUGUGGAGAGGACAAACUUUGAUGAAGUCACCAUCUUUCCACUCUAGUGACAAGUUUCAUUUGCUUUGCCUUCUCUAUUGUAUCUGCUGGAAUCUCCUCUACUAGGCAGAUGUAACACCCCGCAACCGGGUCUUGGAACGUCACACUUAAGGCUACAGUAUCCCCAAGCUAACCCUUUGAGCCUUCUACUUCGUAUAUUAGCUUACUUAGAGAUAAAAUACAUGAACUUAACACUCUGACAUCAUAAAAUAAGAAAUAUGAAUAAAAUACUUGGUCUGAACAAACUACAACUCAAGGAAAAUCUCAAAGUGCUGACAAUCUGAUGACUAGUCUGACAAACCUCUACUACUCUAAACUAGAGAGCCAUUGGGACAAGUCCCCAACUGACUCAUACUCAACUGACAAGAAUUAAAUAGCUACUAAAUAAAACUGGAAGUAUGAGAAUAACCGGUCCCCGAAACAUGAGGAGUCACCACAACUAAUAUAUAGAUAGGAGUGCUCGAAAGGAUCACUAGUGAGGAUGAGACUGAGCACCUGAACUACAUUACGAGAAUAUAUGGCACACAGUUAAAAUAUGUGGGUCAGUACUUUGGGAAUGUACUGAGCAUAUGGGGGAGUGUGAAAUUAAAAUAAUCAAUAUCAUAAGCUUUUAUAGAAAACCUGCAUGGUGUAAAACAUACUCACAUAGCUUGAAAUAAAUAUAUGCCACAAGACUCAUAAAUCAUCNNNNNNNNNNNNNNNNNNNNNNNNNNNNNNNNNNNNNNNNNNNNNNNNNNNNNNNNNNNNNNNNNNNNACUUAUACUUUCAAAACUUUGUAACUUUAAGACUAAAACUCUUUGAAACUUGGAAGACUUUAGAACUUACAGAACUUUAGGAACUUAAGGAGUUUCUCUUAACCGACAUAAACCAUGUGAGUUACAUGGAGUCCAACAUCUUACCCACAUUGGGGAGAGCUAUUGUAUCCUUGUCAUCGGAUAAAACCUUACCUUUAGUGAUCACUAUCUUAACACACUUAGGGUAUAUCAAGAACCUACGGGGGCAUGUAGUUCUGGGGUAUGAGACCUCAGAAUCAAGACCAACUCGAUGCUAAAUACUACUCCCUUACUUAGCUUAGAACUUUAAAAAACCCACCUUAAAAUAAUUCAACAAUAUAUAUAUAUAUAUAUAUAAUGGGAGCCAAAAUGCAUCCCCUUUACUUCAAACUCAAGAAUGUGGAUUUCUAUCUUAACUUACAAUCAAAACUCAUUUCUUGAUAUUCUUUCAAAAUUACUAACAUCUCAUUCUCAAACUCAUUCUUUAACCAUAAGGUUCAAUUCACAACAAUAGAACUUGAAAUUCUCAAAACGUGGUAUAGACGUGGAAUUAUGCAACUUAAACCAUAAAUUGACAAUUUAAACCAUUAAUAUGUAUAACAAUAUUACAACUCAAAGCUUGGGUAAGACAUAGUUUCAUGAAAAAACUCACAAUAUAAUAACAUGAUAGGAAUUCUCCAUGAAUUUACGAAAUACUUUACGAAAAUAUGUAACUCUUGGGCACAAGAACAAAAGGGUGUUCUUGUUCAAAACCACAUACCUUAAACUUGGAACUUUUGGAUGACUUCAAAAAUUCUGGAAGGUUAUUCAUGAACUAUUGGGUGUCCCUUGUAGCCCUCUUAACAGGGAAUUUAAAUAUGCGAGAAUUUUCGAAUUCUCACGGUUGAAUCUCUAGAUAAUUGGGUUUUUAUGUUGAAAACAUAACCUUGUGGUUGAAGGUGUGCAGAGAAUUUUGAGAUGUUUAACUAAAGAGAAUGGAAUAUAAUGCGCUCUUUGAGGGUUAUAAGUCGUGGGAAGUGAAGGAAAAAGACCAAAAUAACCUUACUAAACCGCUUAUCAGUUGCUGAAAAUCUAAGGCUGACGACAUUUGUGAUAGGCCGUCAGACUUAAGAUAAGUCAUCACAAAUGUCAUCACUGGGGGGAUGGAAUUGAUGGAUUUCUUCCUAAGGCUGACGACAUUCGUGAUAAGUUAUCACACUUGUGAUAACUUAUCAGAAAUGUCGACACUGGGUGUUGGAUUCUGCCUAAGGCUGACGACAUUCGUGAUAAGUCGUCACACUUGUGAUAACUUAUCAAAAAUGUUGUCACUGGGGGCUGUAUUCUGCCUAAGGCUGACGACAUUCGUGAUAAGUCACCACACUUGUGAUAAGUUAUCACAAAUGUCGUCACUCAGUUUUCUAGGCUGACUUGCUUGAGUAAAAUGGGCAUAACUUCUUGCUCCGGUAUCGAAUUUAGGCGAAAUUGGUAUUGUUGGAAAACUAAUUCAAUUAUCUAUCUAUUGGUGGGUCAUGAGCUAAUAAAUUCAUAGUAUAAAGAGAGAUAUGCUCAUUUGAAGUUGACUAUAUCAAUGUCCUUCUCAAGAAUUCAAUCGGCAAGGAAUGUUUAGAUUUGUUUAAUAGAUAGGACACUAUUGGGGCCUUAAUACUCAUCAAACUAGAUCAUGUAACUACCAAAUCACUAAAUUUAUUUCUAAAGAUCUUGAAGCAGCGUUCUACUAUUAUUUGAAAUUCUCAGGGUAUUACAAUAUCUCCCCCUUGGAAACUUUCAUCCUCGAAUGUCACUAGUUAAGCUAGGAAUGCAAAGAAACUGAGGAUGCACAAUUGGAAUAGUUCUAUAAAUUGAAUCUAUGUCAUUCUAAACUGUCAGGUAUUUUUGAGAGUGCACAAAUUUGCAACAAAAUAGCUAUAUAGCUGAAGCUUUGGUUAGAUAGGGGAUGAAUUAAGAAAAAGUAAUACCUUCGGCUUGCUCUGAACUUAUGAAGAAGAGUUGUGGGUACUUGGAUCGCAUAUCUGCUUCAGCUUCCCAAGUAGCACCCUCAACUGAUUGGUUCCGCCAUAAAACUUUGACCAAUGGAACUUCUUUGUUCCUUAGUCUAUGGAAUUGGUAAUCUAGGAUAUCAACUGGAACCUCAUCAAAUGAAAGGUAAUUCUGAACAUCUAAGCUAUCUGAAGAAUCAACAAUGAUAGAAUCACCAAUAUGCUUCUUAAGCAUGGAAAUAUGGAAAAUAGGAUGAACAGCUGAUAACUCUGCAGGAAACUCAACUUUAUAGGCUGCUUUCCCAACACGACUGAGAAUUCUGUAAGGGCCAACGUAAUGGGGACUAAGUUUCUCCUUUUUCCCAAACCUUUUCACCCCUUUCAUGGGCAAAAUUUUCAGAUACACCAAAUCAUUAACUUCGAACUCAAGGUCUUUUCGUCUUACAUCUGCAUAUGACUUUUGACGACUCUGAGCUGUCUUUAACUUUUUUCUAAUCAACUUCACCUUCUCCAUCACCUCAAAUACUGCAUCAGGUCCAACCAAAGUACCUUCACCCACUUUGAACCAACCUAUGGGUGACCUACAUCUCCUACCAUAUAAAGCCUCAAAUGGUGCCAUCUUGAUACUAGCAUGGUAACUAUUGUUGUAAGCAAACUCUAUCAGCGGCAAAUACUCAUCCCAACUACCUUUGAAAUCAAGGGCACACGCUCUCAACAUGUCCUCCAAAGUUUGGAUAGUCCUCUCAGCCUGACAAUCGGUCUGUGGAUGAACAGCAAAACUCAUAUGAACUUAGGUACUAAGACCCUUCUGAAACACUCUCCAGAACUGAGAAGUGAACUCAGUACCCCUAUCCGAAAUGACAGACAAGGGAACUCCAUGCAGCCUGACCAACUCCCGAAUAUACAAUCUAGCAUAGUCCUCAGCUGUAUAAGGUGUGUGCAUAGGCAAGAAAUGCGCUAACUUAGUCAGCCUGUCAACAACAACCCAGAUGGAAUCAUCAUGGCAUUGGGAAAGAGGUAAGCCAGUCAUAAAAUCCAUAUUUAUCUCUUCCCACUUCCAAGUUGGGAUACCAAACUCUUGUAUCACACCACCAGGUCUUUGGUGCUCAACCUUAACCUAUUGACAUAUUGCACACUUUGCCACAAAAUUAUCUAUAUCCCUCUUCAUACCACACCACCAAUAGAUGUCCCACAAGUCACGGUACAUCUUGGUAGUGCCGGGAUGAAUAGAAUACCGUGCACCAUGCGCUUCAUCCAUAAUUCUCUGCCUCAAAUCACCAAUAUUAGGAACACAUAAUCUACCCAGCAACCACAACACACCAUCUCCCCCUUGAGAGAAUACCUCUACCUUUUGUUCCUUAACUGACUCCUUCAGUUUGACCAAGCUAGCAUCUAAGUCUUGCUUCUCCUUCACUUUCGAAACCAAAGAAGAUUCGGAACUACUCUGUACUAACAUAUUUCCCUCAGCGGAAUCAAGCAACAUAACACCCAGUCUAGCCAGUCGAUGCACAUCACGAGCCAAAUCUUUCUUACCUUCCUCCAUAUGUGAAACACUACCCAUAGACAUCAUGCUAAGGGCAUCUUCCACAACAUUGGCCUUGCCCAAAUGAUACAAAACGCUCAUAUCAUAGUCUUUUAAUAAUUCUAACCACCUCCGCUGCCUAAGAUUCAACUCCUUUUGAGUCAACACAUGCUGCAGGCUUUUGUGAUCAGUAAAAAUAUCAACAUGCACAUCGUACAAAUAAUGUCUCCAGAUUUUCAGAGCAAACACUACAGCAGCUAACUCUAAGUAAUGGGUUGGGUAAUUCUUCUCGUGAGGUUUCAACUGUCUAGAAGCGUAGGCUAUAGCUUUACCCCUCUGCAUCAAAACACAAUCCAAACAAAUUCUCAAAGCAUCACAGUAUACCACAAAACCAUUUACACCAUAAGGCAAAGCCAACACAAGGGCGGAAGUGAGUCGAGUCUUCAACUCUUGAAAACUCUUCUCACAGGAAUCCGACCAGAGGAACUUAACUUUCUUUUGGGUCAACCGAGAUAUGGGAGACGCAAUAGAAGAGAACCCUUCAAUGAAACGGCGGUAAUAGCCAGCUAGACCCAAGAAGACAGAGAGAUAGGCCUAGGAUAAUUUCUUAUAGCCUCUAUAUUUUGAGGAUCAACUCUAAUACCUUCGGCUGAAAUAAUAUGACCCAAAAAUGCUACAGACCUUAGCCAAAACUCACACUUACUGAAUUUGGCGAACAACUUAUGUUCUCUAAGAGUUUGCAAGACGAUUAUAAGAUGGUCUGCGUGUUCACCCUCACUUUGGGAAUACAUAAGGAUGUCGUCAAUAAACACAAUGACAAAUAUAUCAAGAUAUGGCUUAAACAGUCGAUUCAUCAGGUCCAUGAAAGCUGCUGGGGUGUUAGUUAGCCCAAAAGAUAUAACAAAAAACUCAAAAUGACCAUAGUGGGUUCGAAAUGCUAUCUUCGGGAUAUCACACUCCCUUACUAUAAGUUGGUGAUAACCUUAUCUAAGGUCUAUCUUAGAGAAAUAACUCGCACUUUACAACUGAUCAAACAAAUCAUCUAUUCUCGGAAGAGGGUACUUAUUCUUGAUUAUGACCUUAUUAAGCUGAAGAUAGUCAAUGCACAUACGAAAAGAACCAUCUUUCUUUCGCACAAAAAGGAUAGGUGCGCCCUAAAGAGAUAUACUGGGCCUUAUAAAACCUUUGUCUAAGAGAUCUUUAAGUUGUUCUUUCAACUCUUUAAGCUCUGCAGGUGCCAUACGGUAGGGAGGAAUGGAAAUAGGCUGAGUGUCGAGAAAAAAAUCGAUCCCAAAUUCUAUCUCUCUAUCGGGUGGUGCCCCUGGGAGAUCUUCCAGAAAGACACCAGGAAACUCAUUGACAAUGUUGAUUGAAUGGAUACUUGGGGUUUCAGAGUUAGUGUCCUUAACUCUAACUAAGUGAUAAAAGUAACCCUUAGAUAUAAGCUUCCUGGCUUUGAGAUAAGAAAUAAAACGACUUUUAGGAGGUACUGAACUCCCUGGCCACUCAAAAACUGGGUCAUUAGGAAACUAAAAUUUGACUACAAGAGUAUGACAAUCUAUAGAUCCAUAGCAGGAGUGAGCUAGUCCAUACCCAGGAUAACAUCAAAAUCAACCAUCUCUAACUUUAUCAAAUCAGCAAGUGUGACUCUAUGAAAGACUAUAACAGGACAAUUCUUGUAUACUUGCUUAGCAAUAACAGACUCCCCUACUGGAGUAGAAACUAGAAUUCGCUCAAAAAUACUUUCAGGACUCUUCUCAAAAUUCACAGCAACCAGUGGGGUAACAUAAGAAAAACGUGACCCGAGGUCCAAUAGCACAUAAACAUCAAAGUGAAAUACACGAAGCAUACCAAUAACAACAUCGGGAUAGUCCUCUUGCUCAUGAUGGAAAGGUAGGGCAUAGAACCUGUUUUGGUGCUAACCGCCAGCAGUACUAGAAAAAGUGCCCUGAGAAGGAGCUAAAUGGGAUACGAAAGCUGGUGCACUAGUGGCUUCGAUUUGGGGUCGGGUAUCUCUGCUUCCCUGCCUGGCAUGUGGGCACUCUCUAAGCCUGUGGCCUAUCUUUCCACACCCGAAACAACCACGCUGUUCAUCCAAACACCCAGAUGGAUCCUACCAUACUUGGCACAAGGAGGAAAGUUGGGCUUGCUGCUCACACUCUGCUAAGGCCUGGACAUAGAAGACUUGUUUCCCUACUCUGGCCUAUCUCUAGGCACUAGGGCACUAGCAGAUGAGGGUGCUAGCAUAAAAGAACAACUCUGGAACUGAGGUCGGUUCCCUCCCUGUGAUCUAGCCUGAUCGUACUUGUAUUGUUCAUACAUGGCUCUCUUAUUACCUCUCACUCUAUCUCUUUCUCAUAUCUUAUUCUCCUUUAUUUGCUACGUAUAGAUCAUGAGCCUAGACAAAUCCAUCUCCUUGUUCAAUAUAGUAGUACAGCAUUCUUUCAGUACUAAGCCUGACACACCUGUCACAAACUUUCUCAUACCAGUUCGGGUGUCAGAGAUCAAGUCAGGCGUAGAUUAAGCAGUACUCCUUAACAGUCAUGGAGCCCUGCCUCAAGUUCAUAAAUUCUUCAAUCUCUGUCUCCUUUAACUCCAAAGGAAAGAACCUAUCCAAGAAUGUAUCUUGGAAUAUCUGCCAGGUAAUGGGAGCAUCGUCCUUCCCUCUACCCUUCCUCCAAAAAACCGCCCAGUCAUACACAAUGUCCUUCAACCUGUAAGAUGCUAACUCCACACACUUUUCUUUAGACACACGCAUUACCUGUGUGAUCUUUCUUAUCUCCUCAAGAUAUAACUAUGGGUCUUCCUCUACCUUUGACCCAUAAAACUCUGGCGGACUCAUCCGUAUAAAGUCACGAAUUCUGGCAGCAGCUAAGUCACGAAUUCUGGCAGCAGCUAAGUCACCUCCCUGCUGCUAAGGAGCUUUGGACUGAUUGUCCUGGAUAGUGACAGCUUGGGCCAGUGCCUGGAAGGCUGCCCUGAAUUCGGCAUGGGACACAUUUUCAUUCAGAGGAUCAGCGGGCUGAGGUUGCUGAUCAUUGUUAUUUCUUCGAGCUUGGCGGGGAGGCUUAUUCUGAUGAUUAUUUUAAUUGGACACUCCCCCAUAUGUUCAGUAAAUUCCUAAAGUACUUACCCAUAUACUUUGUCUGUGUGCCAUAUAUUCUCGUAAUAUGGGUUCAGGUGAUCAGUCUCAUCCUCACUAGUGAUCCUUUUGAGCACUCCUAUCUACAUAUCAGCCGUGGAGAGUCCUCAUAUUUUGGGGACCGGUUAUUCUCAUACUUCUAGUUUUAUUUAGUUACUGUUUAAUUUUUGUCUAUAUGGGUCCAGGAUUAGGAAAUUCCAAGUACCCUUCGCUCUCCAUGAUACAUAAAUACAAGUGUACUUAGGGGAUUCCCAUGUACCCCGUAAGUAUUAUAUAUAGUCGCCAUGACCAAUCCUCACAUCAAACAUAAGUUUCCAGUGUCCGUCCAUUGGACUCAUACCUUCAUGAUUAGCUAUCACACCCACCAUUAUUGCCAAAUUAAAACCAUUACCACUCAACCAAACCACCAAUCAAUUUAUUAUUAACCAAGUCUAUGUAGCCGUUUGGUCAUGAAAACUAAAAUUUUCUGGAGUUGGAGUUGGAGUUGAAGUUGGAGUUGAACUUGGAGUUGAAGUUAUGUUUGGCCAUGUCUUUUUUGAAUUUUUUUUUUUUUACUUUUGAAAAAGCUUUUUUAAAUAUGAUUUUAUGCCCCAACUUUUACAAACUAUCAAAAUCACCCAACUAAAAUUUACCUACUAACGGGAAAAAAUACAAUUAGCCACUUUUAUAAAAAUAAUUACAUAUACAUGGCCAUAUUUAAUGAAUUUCAAUUAUGACAUAUAUAAUAUUUACAGUAAUAGCCGUUUUCUCAUAUUUGAAAAUUUUAAAUAUGGAUGUUACUUUUGAAGGGGAGCCUUGGAGUAACUGGUAAAGUUGUUGCGAUGUGACUAGGAGGUCAUGGGUUCAAGCCUUGGAAAUAGCCUCUAGCAGAAAUGCAAGGUAAGGCUGCGUACGAUACACCCUUGUGGUGGGGUCCUUUUCUGGACACCGCGUAUAGCGGUAGCUUUAGUGCACCGAGCUUCCCUUUUUUUAAUAUUAACAGAUCACUGUUUUCAAUUUUUUAGGUAACAAAUAUUAUCUUUCAAACAAAUUUAUUUUCUAGAAAUUUAUUUAAUUUAUUUCUUUUCUUUUUCUUUCCUAAAAAAUAGGAAAUGAUAAGUUGUUAUUAAAUUUUAGGGUGCCGCUAAUUUCUUUCUUUAAUUUUUUUAUACAUAAAAGAUUUUACUGUGUGUGAAUAAAUUAUUUCUAUGAAAAAAAUACUUUGCAUAUUUAUGGUAUAUUAUAUCAUAUACCAUAAAUAUAUAAAUAUGCUUAGUAUGUUUCUUUAUACUUUGUAUAUUUAUAUAUGUGUGUAUAUGGUAUAUACAUGGUAUAAACAUCAUAUAUAACAUACUUUGUAUAUUUAUGUUAUAAAUAUGCUUAGUAUGUUUCUUAAUCCUUUGUAUAUUUAUACAUGUGUGUCUAUGUUAUAUACAUGGUAUAAACUUUAUAUAUAACAUACUUUGUAUAUUUCUUUUAUAAAUAUAAUACUUUAUAUAUUUAUGGGUAUAAAUAAAAUACUUUGUGUAUAAAGAUACCAAGUAUUAUGGUAUAUAAAGAUAGCAGUUGCAGUUUACAGUAUAAAUUUGUUAAAUUGGACAUAUUUUUUUAUAAAAAAUAUGUAUCACCGAUUUAUAUUUUUAGCAUAUAUAUGGUAUAAACUAUUUAUAUUUGAAUAGUAUAAUAAAGAUGCACACAAUAUAAUAUAUAUAAUCAAAUUAAAAAUGAGAAUAAUUUGUGGCAGUGGUAAAUUAAUUUGCUACAACUUUAUUAAUUCCAUAAAUAUAGAAAAUGAUUAUCCAUUAUUCAUUACACGACUAUAAUUCAUUAAACAUCCGUAUCACAACAGAAAAAAUAUUAUUAUUAUUAUAUUAUAGUAAUUAGGAUCAUUAGUAGUAAAAUAAGGGAGAAAAUUAAAUAAGGGAGAAAAAUAAUGAUGAGAGAGAAAAAGAGAUAUAUAUUAAUUAGGAUAGCACUAAGUUUGAAAUUAUUAUUAUUUUAUUCUUUACAACUGCUAUAUACGUAAUAUUGAAAAAGUAAUGUUAUAAGGAGAGUUUUAUGUAAAAUUUUAAAAGAUUGGGAUUAUAUGUAAUAAUAAUAAAAGUUGAAAUUGGAGUUGGAAAAUUGUGAAAAAACCAAAAACCUAUUUUCCCUUUUUAGAAAAUUUCCAAAAUUAUUUUUCGAAUUUUCAUGGCCAAACACCACAAUUUCCAACUUCGGAAAAAUUUUCCAAAAAAAAAAAGAGAAAAAAAUUCAUGGCCAAACGGACCCUAUAAGUAGUGGUAGCAUCAUACCGACUAUAACUUACAAUCAAUGUCCUUAGCCAACCUUUAAUAGAAUAAGGAAUUCUCAUGUACCCAUAGAUUACAUUAUUAAGUAGACUUGGGGGAAUCCCAUGUACCCCACAAGUGAUCAUUAUUAUGUUUGCUUGGGGGAUUCCCUUAUACCCCACAAGGUUUUCAAUAAAACCAUCCAUAACCACCAAGGCCUUACCAUUUAACCAUUUCAAAUCAUUUAAAUCAUUUAUUCCAUUCCAAAUCAUUUAAAUCAUUUAUACCAUUUAGAGUUCCAUUACCAAGUUAUACCAUUCAAUAGUUCAAUAAAAGUCUAAUAAUUUAAUCGAAAACAUUCUCAUAGGUAUUUUAUCAAAGAUGUUGGGGCAUAGUAUUUCCAAAGCCAAAACCAAUUACCAAUUAAUGAUUCCCAUGCAACCAAAUGUCAAAACCAUCAUUAAAACAUGUAAAUCCAUAAUUAAAACAUGGAAAAACCAUAACGAAGCAUUUAUAACCAAAAACCCCAACAUAUAUUUGAAAACCCAAAACCAUACAACAAUUAUGCCAUGAAAACAAUUCAUAAAUCAUGCCUUUAGUUGGAACUAACAAUGGGGGAGGAGUAACAUGUCUUAUAUUGAGAAGAUAAUGGAGAGAAAUCACCAUUGUAAGUCCAAAUUUGCUCCUAUUGAUGUAAACCCUACCUUCCUUAACCCAAGAGCCUUAGAGAGAAUUUGAGAGAGUCUCUAAGUGUUUAGAUUAGAAUAUUAGGGUAAAUAAUGUCCCAAAAGAGUUAUAAGUCAUGGGGCCUUAAGAGGUUAAGAGGGAAAAUAUCCAGAUUACCCGCAACUUAAACUGCAUAAAAAUCUCGCAGAAGGGUACAACUCCACCAUACCACCUGUACCCUAUCAUACGAGUGGUGGGUACCACUCAUACCCUAGGCAUACCUUGGACCCCCAACAAUGGCCCACAUACAACCACCAAGGCUUAAUCCUACCCAAGUAUACGAUAUGUAACUUUAACUCAUACCUUAGGUAGAAUCAAGAGGGCUUGACACUGUCCAACAUACGAGUUGGACUAUCCCACUCAUACCUCAUCUCACGACUCAUGGUGAGCCAAUUAUACUCAUAUUCAAGUUAAGUUACUAAGUUUCAUACUAAGUAAAGGAAAACCCAACCCUAUGAUCCAUCACCCACUAUACGACUCGUACCUACCCAAGUCGUACCUAUUAUAAAAACUAAACCACCCACACCACCAACACUGGACAACAUACGAUAGGGUCACCUGACCUAUACCAUCACCAUACGACUAGUAUGGUGAGUUGUAUGUUGUACAGAAAUUCCAAAACCCAGGAAAAUUCUACGGACCAAAACCCUGGGUGUUUUAGUCUUUCCUACUCAGAUCAUUCAUCCCCGAAUGAUGGGCAAGGCAUUACAAGCAUAAGAUACACCCCAACAUAACUAUUCCAACCCUUAACUAAGAUAGAAAAUAAAGAUGCAAGGAAAUCAACCUUUUCUUUAAUCAAGUAAGAAAACAAAGAUAUGAUCAAGAACACAUACCUUCCAUACGAAUAUCCGGAGGAAAAAAUAAAUGUGGAUACUUGGACUUCAUAUCCUCUUCUUCUUCCUAAUUAGCUUCUUCCACCCUAUGGUUUUUCCAUAAAACCUUAACCAAAGCUACUUCCUUGGUCCACAACCGAUAAACCUGUCGAUCCAAGAUCUCUUAAUAAGAUAGAGAAUCCGAGAUUCCUAAUCCUUCCAAAGGAGCAACCGGUGAAGGAUCACCUAUACAUUUUCUCAACAUGGAGACAUAGAAUACUGGAUGAAUGGAGCUCAAACUAGAAGGCAACUUCAAUUCAUACGCAACAUUACCAACUCUCCUCAAAACCACAAAGCACCAACAUACCAUGGACUGAGCUUCCCUAUUUUCCUAAACCGCAUUACUCCCUUCAUGGUAAAUACCUUUAGAAAUACCUUAUCCCCAACCUCAAACUCCAAUCCCCUAUGCCUUACAUCCACAUAGGACUUUUGGCGACUUUGGGAAGCCUUAAGACUAUCCCGAAUAACCAUCACCUUCUCCAUAGCCUGAUAAACUAAAUCCAGGCCAAACAUAUUUGCAUCACCAAGCUCGAACCACUUAAUAGGAGAUCUAUACCACCUACCAUACAAUGCUUCAAAAGAGGUCAUCCCAAUGCUAGAAUGAUAGUUAUUAUUGUAAGCAAACUCAAUAAGAGGUAAAUGACCAACCCAAUUACCACUAUAAUCAAGCACACAUGUACAAAGCAUAUCUUAUAAUGUCUAAAUAGUCCUUUAUACUUGCCCAUCCAUCUGUGGGUGAAAAAAAGUACUUAGGCUAACCUUAGUACCUAACCCCUUCGGAAACAAUCAUCAAAAGUGAGAUGAAAACUGCAUACCACGAUUAGAGAUAAUAAAAACUGGUACACCAUACAGCUUUACAAUCUCAUAAAGAUACAACCUCGCAUAAUCCUCAGCCGAAAAAUUAGUCCUCACUGGAAAGAAAUGAUCUGACUUUGUCAUCCUAUCCAUGAUGAUCCAAACAGAAUCAAAUUGGUUCCGAGAUCGAGAAAGACCAUUAAUGAAAUCCAUAUUGAUCACUUACCAUUUUUAUUCAGACAAUUCAAACUCCUGAUACAAGCCUCCAAGCCUCAUGUGCUCAACUUUCACUUAUUGACACACUAAAUACUUGUCCACAAAAUUGGCCACAUCCUUCUUCGUACCAUUACAUCAAUAUAUUUCCCUAAGAUCAUGAUAUAUCUUUGUCGAAUCAGGAUGAACAACAUAGUGUGAUUCAUGUGACUAAGCCAAUACCCUUUCUCACAAACCAUCGACAUCAGUAACACACAAUCUCUCUUGGUACCGCAAGGUACCAUCACCACUGAUCUCAAAUACAAUUGUCUUUUUCCCACCUACAUCACCCUUGAUUUUCACCAAGAUAGGAUCCAGUAUUUUCUUCUUCUUGAUUUCUACACCAAGAGACGACCGAACCACUUCCUGUACCAAUACACCACCAUUCUCGAAAUCAAAAAGGUGAAUUCCAAGAUUAGCCAAGCAGUGAAUAUAUUUCACCAACUCUCGCCUCUUCUUAUCCACAUACGCUAAACUCCUCAUAGACAACCUGUUAAGAGCAUCAGCAACAAUAAUAGCCUUACUUGGAUGGUAGUAAAGACUCAUGUCAUAGUCCUUGAGAAGCUUAAGCCAUCUCCUUUUCCUAAGAUUAAGAUCUUUUUGAGUGAACACAUACUAUAGACUCUUAUGAUCAAAAAAGAUAUCCACGUGCGCUCUAUAUAGUUAGUGCUGCCAGAUUUUCAACACAAACACCAUCGCUAAAAGCUCCAAGUUAUGAUUAGGAUAGUUCUUCUUAUAUACCUUCAACUACCUAGAAGCAUAGGCAAUAACCUUCCUAUGUUGCAUCAAAAAACAAGCAAGUCCCACCUGAGAUGCAUCACGAUAAACUACAAACCCCUCAUUGCCUUCAGGCAAAGUCAAAACCAGAGCCAAAGUUAGCUUAUCCUUCAUCUUCUUGAAACUACCCUCACAAGAAUCAGACCAAGAGAACUUUACCUUCUUUUGAUACAAUUUAGUUAAUGGGGCAUCUAUUAUCGAGAAACUCUCCACAAACCUCCUAUAGUACCCAGCCAAACCCAAGAAGCUCCGAAUGUCAAUUGAAGUCAUGGGUCUAGGCUACUUUUUAACCACCACCACCUUUUGUGCAUCCACUAUGAUCUCCUUACUAAAAAUAAUAUGACCUAAAAAAGUGAUACGUUCAACCAAAAUUCAUAUUUUGAGAAUUUGGCAUACAACUGUUGCUCUUUCAAGGUCUGCAACACACACGAAGGUGAUUAGAAUGAUCCACCUCACUCUUAGGGUACAUCAAAAUAUCAUUGAUGAACACAAUGACAAAUAAAUCCAGAAACUAAUGGAAGACCCUGUUCAUCAAAUCCAUGAAUGCCAUUAGGGCAUUGGUUAAACCAAAUUACAUAACAAAGAACUCAAAGUGCUCAUACCGGGUACGGAAAGUUAUCGUAGAGAUAUCCAACUCCCUAAUCUUAAGCUGAUGAUACCUAGAUAGAAGACCUAUCUUAGAAAAGAAUUUGGCACCUUGCAACUGAUCAAACAAGUUAUCUAUCCUUGGAAGAGGAUACUUUUCUUAACCGUCACCUUAUUCAACUGUCGAUAGUCAAUAAACAUCCAAAGGGAACCAUUUUUUAUGCACGAAUAACAUCGGUGUACCUCAUGGGAUACACUAGGAUGGAUGAAACCCUUAUCCAAAAGAUCCUUAAGUUCCCUCAACUCAAUCAAAUCAUCCUAUAAGGAGGAAUAGAUAUUGGACGAGUGUCCAAAACCAAAUCAAUCCCAAACAUAAUUUCCCUAUCUAGAGAAAUACCAGGAAGCUCGUCAGGAAACUUAUUUACCAUCAGAACAGAAUGCAAAAAUAGACCUUUGAGAUAGAGUCUUUAAACCAGACCAAAUGAUAGAGACACCCUUUGGAUAUUAACCUCUAAACUCUAAGAUACGAUAUAAGCUUCCUUUUAGGAGCUAGGGAACCAUACCCCUUCCCUUAUAAUCGGCUCAUCGAGAAACCUAAAGACAGCCUUAUGAGUUCAAUAAUCUAGGGACAUGUAGCACAAGUGUAACCAAUCCAUCCCCAGAAUAACCUCAAAAUCCAUCAUAUCUAAUUCAUAUAAAUCCACCAAGGUCUCCUUACUGCCAACAGAUACCACACACACCUUAUAGACUAUUUAGCAACCACAUAGUCACCUAUCAGCUAGAAAUAGGAAAAGGAUCCAAAAUAAUCUCAAGAUCAAAACCAAAAUACACAGCCAUAAAUAAGGUCACAUAAGAGAGUGUGGACCCCCGAAUCAAGUAAAUAAUACAGGUCACAAGAAAAAUGUUAUAACAUACCAGUCAUGACAUCAGGUGAUGCCUCAGACUCCUAUUGGGACCCAAGUGUAUAUAACCUAUUUUGGUAUAUGUCGGUAUCAGAAAAAGAAAUAAAUAAAGAAGCAGCACUCAUGGGUGCAGGAGCAAAUAAAGAGGCAACCGGAACCUUGUUCGUUCCUGAAGUAAACUUCCCAAUCAGAUAGUUUUAAGGCAUAUAUCCUGGCUAAGAAUAGUUAAAAUACCUAUCCCUCCUCUCAUCACAGAAGCCUUGAUGUAAUCGAUCACAGGACCUAUAAGAAGGAUAUGAUGAGGCUGACUGAGCCCCACUAGCCUGAGAUUGGGAAUUUUGUGCUCUAAAUUUAUCGCCACCUUAAACGCCCAUCACCCAACUGCUAUGGGUAAGGAGCACUAGCUGUGGACAAAGAACCAAAACUACCCACCCCACUUCUUCUUUUUCCACUUACCACCAUCCCGACCACGUUGUUAUUGACAACCCUGCUUAAAGAACCUAAACUUCUUAUCCUACCUUUCACCUACUUCAGCUUGCUUUCUCUUUUUCUCUUCCUCGUGUUGUAUAUGAAUAACCAACCAAAAUAUCCAUGUCCUUAAUCAGCAAUGCAGUCUAGCUUUCAAGGAUCAACUCAUGAGACAGUCCUGAAGAGAACUUUCUCAUCUUAUCCCUCUUAUCAAACACCAAUUUCGAAGCAUACCUAAAAAACUAGUGAAAUUUCAAGGCAUAUUCCUUGACUUACAUCUUUCCCUAUUUUAGAUAACAAAUUUUUUCCCCUUUGCUUCUCUCAACUUCUGAGGAAAGAAGUGUUCCAGAAAAGCAUUAUAUAAAGACUCACACAGAGAACACUCAUCAACCUCACCCUUUGCCUGCUCCCAUUCCUCGUACCAUUAGUAUGCCACAUUCUUUAGCUGAUAGACAGCAAAAUUUACCCCUUCCACAUUCAUGGCCUGUAUCACCAUGAUGAUCUUUUCCAUUUCAUCCAGAAAACCUUAUGAAUCUUCCUCUAUCUUAACACUAGUAAAAGUAGGAGGAUUCAACUUCAGAUAUUGGCUAACCCUUGUGUCCUCAGAAGAUACGAUACCAUAUGCACUAUGCUCAGUUUGAGAAACUAGAAAUUAAGCUAUCACAUGAAUCAACUGACAAAACUCUGUAUUUAUCACAUCUGCCUGAAGAGCCUGAGGAGGACUAGAAGGAACCCGUGGAACUCUAGAAAUAUUAGUAACUGGACCCCUAGAUAGAUUAGGGAUCCCCUAAGUAGUGUGUGUCCCAUCAACAUUGUCCCCGAUUGAGAUAGGGGAGUUUUUAUGAACUUCAAAUCAUCGAGGCAUAAACUAAAAUAUUAACAAAUAAAAUCAGAAGAGAUUUCAAGACAUAGAAUCCAAUCUUGAAAAUAGAACACAGAGAAGAGAAACAUUUCCUAAAUUUCUUGUAGUCUCUCUCUUGUGAGUUAGCAUUCUAUAGACCCUUAAAAGAGACUCUACUCAACACGACUUUGUGGACUAUCAAUUGACCACGAACCUAGAGCUUAGAUACCAACUUUACAUAACCCAAACUAUGGUCUUAUCAUAAUAGCCAUCCAAAGUCUAACCAAGAUCGAAGACCACCCCUGUUUCCCAACCCAACCUCUAAAUAUACAUACCCUUAUUACAAGAUAACAUUUAUUACAAUUCUCGUCUCUGGGAUAGGUCCAUGACCGUGACCAACCCGAAUGAGUCCAACCAUCCAUUAUCCAACUAAUAACCAAAACCAAAACAAAAUCAUAAAGCAAUCCAUACAUCCCAUACCAAAUGAGUUCCGUUAUAUAUAUAUAUGUAAUCCCAACACAUAAAUGGAUGGAACAAUCAUAAAUAUAGUCAAACAGUAUCAGCCCCAAUACCAAUGCCAAUUCUAAGGCUGACACCGCUACCGACACCGCCCAUACACACCCAUAGUAGUUCUACAAAGCCUCUAACCGAAAGUAAAAUAAUAUUCGGUUGGGACAUGCCCCUAACCAUAGCCAAAACUAAUGUCAAUAAAAUGACAAAAGUAUGUAAAGACAUCCAGGACAUAAAAUGGAGCCUUUCAGAAUAUGGAAGCUCACCAAUUCAAUCCAGCCGUGCUGAUCCUAAAUCUGAUUACUAAGUAGGAGGAGUAGAAUGGUUUGUUCCUACAUCAUGUAGGGAUACAGCCGCUCGAGGAUGGAUUAGCAGGUGAACUCUAGCAUGCACUCAGGUUAAGGACAAAAUAAUGCCAACCUUUAAAACCAAGUAAACCAACCAUAUAAAUUCAUAACCAUACAUAUAUAUAUAACCAUGCUAGGAGAGGGAACUGGGUUUAGCAUAAAUUUAAAACCAUUAACCUAGGUAUGUGUAGCUUAAACAUCCUAGAACCAUCCACGGGCUAUAUAGGUCUAGUGUAACCCCUUGAACGGGCCCUCAUACAUGUAACCUCAUGAACUAAAGAUACCAUAGGAGUAGAAGAUUCCCAAGUACCCUUUGCUCUCUAUGGCACUUAUGUACAAAUGUACUUAAGGGAUUCUCAUGUACCAUGUAGGUAUCAUAUAUAGUCUCCAUGAACAAUCCUCAUGUCGAAAACAUAAGUUUCCAUUGUCCAUCCAUUAGACUCACACCUUCACGGUUAGCUAUCACAUCCAGCCAUUAUUAACCAAUUAAAACCAUUACCAUACAACCAAACCACCAUUCUAUUUAUUAUUAACCAAGGUUAUAAGUAGUGGUAGUGUCAUACCAACUAUAACUUACAAGCAAUGUCCUUAGCCAACCUUUUAUAGAAGAAGGGAUUCCCAUGUACCCAUAGAUUACAUUAUUAAGUUGACUUGGGGGAAUCCCAUGUACCCCACAAGUGAUCAUUUUAUGUUUGGUUGGGGGAUUCCCUUAUAUCUGACAAGAAUUUUAAUUAGACCAAACAUAACCACCAAGACCUUACCAUUUAACCAUUCCAAACCAUUUAGACCAUUUAGGGUUUCAUUACCAAGUUAUACCAUGCAAUAGUUCAAUAAAUUUCCAACAAUUUAAACAAAAACAUUCUCAUAGAUAUUUUAUUAAACAUCUUGGAGGCAUAGUAUUUCCAAAGCCAAAACCAAUUACCAAUGAACCAUUCCCAUACAACCAAAUGUCCAAACCACCAUUAAAACAUAUAAAUCUAUACAUAAAACAUGGGAAAACCAUAACCAAACAUUUAUAACAAAAUCCCCAACAUAUAUUUGAAAACUCAAAUCUAUACAAUAAUUAUGCCAUGAAAACAAUUCAUAAAACAUUUCUUUAGUUAGAACUAACAAUGAGGGAGGAGUAACAUGCCUUAGAUUAAGAAGAUGAUGGAGAAAUCACCCUUGCAAGUCUGAAUUUGCUCCUAUUGAUGAAACCCUAGCCUUCCUUAAUUGAAGAUACUUAGAGAGAAUUUGAGAGAGUUUCUAAGUGUUUAAGAUUAGAAUAUUGGGGUAAAUAUUGUCCCAAAGAGUUAUAAGUUAUCGGAUCUUAAGAAGUUAAGAGAUAAAAUGUCCAGAUUACCCAACUUAAACUGCAUAAAAAACCCGCAGGAGGGUAUGACUCCACCAUACCACUCGUACCCUAUCAUAUGAGUGGUACCCACUACUCGCAUCCUAGGUAUCCCUUGGACCCCCAACACUGGACCACAUACAACCACCAAGCCCCAAUCGUAUCCAAGCAUACAAUACGUACCUUUAAGUCAUACCUUAGGCCAAAUCAAGAGGGGUUGAUGUUGUCCAACUUAUGAGUUGGACUAUACCACUCGUACCCCAUCUAUGACUCAUGGUGAGCCACUCGUACUCAGAUCUAAGUUAAGUUACUAAGUUUUAGACUGGGUGAAGGAAAAACCCAGUUGUACGACCCAUAACCCACCAUACAACUCGUACUAACCCAAGUCAUACCCAUUUUAGAAACUCAACCACCCAACACCACCAACACUAGACAACAUAUGACUACGUCACCUGACCUAUACCCUCACUAUACGACUAGUAUGGUGAGUUAUGUGAUGUUUAAAAAUUCUAAAACCCAAGAAAUUUCUAAGGACCAAAACCCAUGAUUUUUUAACUUCAGUUGUUCUUCAAAAUCUUCACCAAUCUGGUAGCCCAUCCACCACUCUAAAUUGUUAUCUGAAAUUAUGUAGUAUCGCUGGAUUCCUGAAUCUCCUCAAUAUUGAUUUACAAGAAGUAAUAUUAUUAUCAUAAAAGGGAAUGGGUUAGUGAAGAAAAUUGAUAGAUUCUAUUAAAUUUGUCCCAAUUUCAAAGGGAUAAAGGUUAUGAAUUUGUGCCAUGUUUAGACCCUCGUAGAUGGCUUCUAUCUCUACCAUAACAUGAUGGUGUGCAUUGCUUAUAUUAUAUAAUCCAAUAAUCCAAUGGCCUUGAUCGUUAUGAAUUAUGCCACUGAUGCCUUUUUAGCUGGGAGUAUUUAAAAAUGAGCCAUCGACAUUGUAUUUGAAAAUGACCCAUCGACAUUAAGUUUAAAGAAACUAGAUUUAGGAGGGAACCGUUUGGCGUUAAUGUAAAUACUAUUAAUUUGAUUACUAGGAAUACAGGCAUGAUUUAUGUACUCCUUGGUGUUCCUAUAAAUUAAAGAGGUACUAGGGAAGUUGUUUUUUUUAUCAAAAAUAUUUUGAUUUUGAUUAAUCCAGAUGUUUUAAAUCACAAAAGGAAAAAGGUCGAGCCACGUUGGGGAAUCCAUAUGAAAGGGAUAUUUAGAUUCUUAAGAACCUAAAGCUAGUGAUGGUUGGUCACAUCUAAGUAGGAGAUAUGAUAUCCAUGUCUAACUAAAAUUUUUUAGCUUUAUAGCAGUGAAUAAACACAUGAGAAACAAUUUUAGGUUCAACAUUGCAUAUAGGGCAGUUAGGAUUUGAACUUAAAUUAAUUAAUAGAGAUAGGCAGUCAUAGGGAUUCUCUCAUAAGAGUAAAGCCAAAGGAAGAGUUUGAUCUUCUUCAAUGUUCAUAGCUUCCAUAUCUAAGAAAAUUCAUACGUACAGGUAUUUUGAUUAGAAAGAGAACUAUAGACAUACAUACAGAUUUAAGAUUUAUCCCAUGUACCAAUGGAGUUAUUAGAACAAAUAGUGGUGGCUCAAAGGACAAUGUCAUUAGGAAUUUCAAAUAAGAUUUUCUCCAAUCCCAACCAGUUUUGUUCCAAAUAUCUGAGAAGCACAUGGCCUCUUCCUUUUGGUUAAGGGGGAUAUAUAGGAUGUAUCUUAAGGGAGGGGUCUCAGGAAUUCAAUGAUAAGUCCAAAGAUUAAUAAUUUUUCCCAUAGCUAGAUCCCAAGUAGUGGUUUUAUUACAUAUUGCUCUACACAAAAGGAUAUUUUUUUCAAGUAAAGAAAUGAGAGGAGGUGUUGUGAUGACCAAUAUAUUUAGAAGUAAGAGUAAGAUCCUAGAGAGAGGAGCCAUUGGUAAACAACCUCCAAAAGAGGCCUGUAAGGAGCUUUAUUUUUUUUCCCCAACUUUGGAGGCCAGGCCCUCAUUCACCCUAGGUGCGGUAAUAUUUUCCCACACAACAUAGUGAAUUUUUAUUUUAUGAGUAGUAGAACUCCAAAUAAAGUCCCUUUGUAUCUGAUCGAUGUAAUUGCAAAUUCUUGUGGGAAGUUUAAAAUAUUGUUAGUCUAUGUUGGGAUGACAUUACGGGUAGAUUUUGUGAGAACUACUCUACCUGCUUAAGAGAGAAAAUGGGUUUUCCAAGAGGAAAGCUUUUCCCUUACAUUAUCUAAAAUGAAUUGGAAGUCCUUACAUUUAGAUUUAUGGUUAAGGAUUGGGAACCCCAAGUAAUUUCUAAAAUGAUCAAAAGGAGAGAUAUUGAAAAGGUUUUUGAAAAGAGUAUGAUUAGAAGUAGGACAUGACAUAGAGAAGAUGGCCUUAGACUUGAUUUCAUUAAUAUUUAUUCCCGAAAAAGUGCAAGUGUCCCAUGCAGUUAAAAAUUGAAUAAUAGAUUUAUGGCUAGCUCUGGUGAUGUGGGUAAGAUUGUCUGCAAAAAAAAAGAUGUGAUAAGGGGGGCCAUUGGUAUUAUAAGUGGCAGAAUUCCAACAAAGAAUAUCUACUUGGUGAUUUAUGUAUAUGGAUAAAAGUUUUAUACAUAGGGAUAUCCCCUGUCUAAUACCUCUGGAUAGUGAAAAAAGUGUGUCGGAGUUCCAUUGACAAAGACGGCUAUAUUGCUAGUGGAGAUACAAUUAAUUAUUAAAGUGUGUAUUUUGGGUGAAAACUUAAAUUACAAAAGGGUACAAUAAACAAAAGAUCAUUCAAGAUGAUCAAAGGCCUACUAGGCCCAACUUAAGCAUAAGAGAGUCAGUCCUACUUUUAGUCUUGUUAAGGUAGUAUUUCUUGGACAAGAAUCAUAUUAUCAUAGGUUGUACAGCCUUUUAGGAACCUGGUAUGGUAGGUACCAAUAAGAUUAAUUAAAAGCAUCUUUAGUCGAUUGAAAAUAAUUUUAGUAAUAAUCUUACAAAUAGUAUUUCAUAAGCUAAUUGGACAAAAAUUCUUAAGAUGGUUUGCUCUGGGGAAUUUUGGAAUAAAGCAUAAAUAAGUGUCAUCAAUAGAUUCAGGGAGCCUUUGACUGUCAAACACUUGGUGGCAUAAAUCCCUAAUAGAAUUACCUAUUAUAUCACAUUGAGAAUAGAAGAAAUGAUGGUGAAGUCCAUUCGGUCUCGAAGCUUUGACAGGUUUGAAGAAAAAAAUGGCUUGAAUAAUUUCAAUAUCGCUAAGCGGAUUAUCAAGAGAGGUCAGAUCAUAAUUAUGAAAACUAGUGGAAGGAUAUUUUUAUAUGAUUCCAAUUAGAAGUAGAGUGACUAGUCGUUUAGCAGUCAACAAAGUAAUUUAAGGUAUGGUUAGCAAUUCUAAUAGGGUCAAUUAUCCAAUUAUCUUGAGAAUCCUUGAAGUAAGAAAUUUUAUUCCGUCUUCUUCUAUUAAUAACCAAAAUAUGAAAAAAAAAAUUGAAUUAGAAUCCCCAUAGAUAAGCCACUUAAUACAAGAUCUCAUACGCCAAUGAUCCUCCUCUAUUUUAAGAAUUUAUUAUAUUUAGACUGGAGGUUUUUCUCAAGAGUUUGGAGGAAUGUACUAGCAGGGGAUUUUUAAAUACCCCCAAAUCUAUUCAGGAAAUAAUUACAUAAAGCAACAACUUAACUAUCACUUAUUACAAAAAAUCUCAACUCUUAAAACUUAUUACAAAAAUCUUACUUUUUAAAUUUUUCUCUCUAAAAGUUCAUAUACAUAACUUUACCAAAAUAUUUGUACGGUUUAUUAUCCUUGGAAGAAGCCUACAAUCAAGGAGACAUUAUGUAGAGGUUAUCACUUUUUAAUUCUCAACCGUGUUUGAGUCCAACUCUUACUCAGUGGCAUUCAAUUUUAUCAAAAACUCCAUUUACAAUAUUUUGAAAUUUUAAAAUCUGAGGUUAGCAAUUUUAUUUUAUUUUGAAUUUACCAAAAAUACGAGAUUUCAAGUGAAAAGUUCUUGUAUGUGGUUCGUUCAAUAAUUCUUUCUUAGUAUUGGGGUAAUAUUUUGAUUUUCUACUUUAUCAAAAUUUAGAAUCAUUCGAAUAAGUUCUUGCAUGUACUCCAUUCACUAAUUAGUACUUAGUAAAUGGAUGAUUCUCCGUCUUUUACUUUAGAAUUAACCCAAUUAGAUCAUAGUGACCAACAAAUCGGGUUAUUGGGUUAGUUCUCAAAGAAUUUAUUUACGAGAAUCCUAAUUUUAUUAAAAACAAAUCAAAAUAUUGUAACGAUCCCAUUAAGAUGAAAAAUCUUAGGAAAGUUAUUGAUCGAAGUUAAAAAAAUCAAAUCAAAAAAUCAUCAAGAAAGUCAUAAACGAUGAUAGCGUGCGGCCACGUCUAUCAAAGGUUAUUUUAAUUUUUCGUUUUUGAAUAUGAUUGUUAAUUGUACUAGGAUAUAGUGUAUUUUCAGUAGUGUGAAGUGUUUUGAUUUUUUAUUUUUGAUUAUGGUUGUUAGUGUUGCAGCAUUAUGUAGAUUUGUUCACGAAUAUGAGGGUGCAUUAGUAGUUGUCAGUGUAUAUACAUAGCAUUACUUAUGUAUAUGAUAGAAAUAUAAAUAAGCAAUGUUAUGUAUAUGAACUACAAUGUUAUUUAUAGGUUAUAUACAUCACAGAUGAGUUUAUGGUAUUUUGUAGUUUUAGGUAGGAAUUGAGUGGCUUAGUUAAAGCAAUAUACAUAUCAGGUUGUUAUGUAUAUUUGUCACUGUUAUGUAUAAUGCAUAUACAUCACAAAAAGGUCUAUGGUAUUAAGUUGUUUGGAGUAUGCUUUGAGUGAUUUUUUUUAGGUAAUAUAUAUAUCAGUAUUUUUUUAGUAAUGUGAGAUUUUAUGAUCUUUUAUUUGUGAAUAUGAUUCUUAGUUGUGCAGCUUUAAGUGAGUUUUUUCAUUAAUGUGAGGAUGCCUUAGUAGUUUUCAUUCUAUAUACAUAACAAUACUUAUGUAUAUGAUAAUUAUAUACAUAAGUAAUGUUAUGUUUAUGAAUUACAUUGAUAUGUAUAGUCUAUAUAUAUUAUAGACUGGUCCAUAUACACUGAUUGUUUAUGAUGUAUUUUUUAUGUUUUUAUAGGGUUUGAAAUACAGA